GUCCUACGGGAGGCAGCAGUGGGGGAUAUUGCACAAUGGGGGAAACCCUGAUGCAGCGACGCCGCGUGAGUGAAGAAGUAUUUCGGUAUGUAAAGCUCUAUCAGCAGGGAAGAAAAAAGACGGUACCUGACUAAGAAGCCCCGGCUAACUACGUGCCAGCAGCCGCGGUAAUACGUAGGGGGCAAGCGUUAUCCGGAUUUACUGGGUGUAAAGGGAGCGUAGACGGAAAGGCAAGUCAGAAGUGAAAGCCCAA
RNAcentral lists this ribosomal RNA (253 nucleotides) under uncultured bacterium. RNAcentral describes it as "partial 16S ribosomal RNA". It matches the Rfam family "Bacterial small subunit ribosomal RNA", at positions 335 to 605 of the family's 1533-position model. The record is from RNAcentral.